GCCUGGCUGGCUCAGUGGGUAGAGCAUCCCACUCUUGAUCCAGGGGUUGUGAGUUCAAGCCCCACGUUGGGCU
RNAcentral lists this transfer RNA (73 nucleotides) under Felis catus (domestic cat). It matches the Rfam family "tRNA". Rfam says of the family: Transfer RNA (tRNA) molecules are approximately 80 nucleotides in length. Their secondary structure includes four short double-helical elements and three loops (D, anti-codon, and T loops). Further hydrogen bonds mediate the characteristic L-shaped molecular structure. tRNAs have two regions of fundamental functional importance: the anti-codon, which is responsible for specific mRNA codon recognition, and the 3' end, to which the tRNAs corresponding amino acid is attached (by aminoacyl-tRNA synthetases). tRNAs cope with the degeneracy of the genetic code in two manners: having more than one tRNA (with a specific anti-codon) for a particular amino acid; and 'wobble' base-pairing, i.e. permitting non-standard base-pairing at the 3rd anti-codon position. Lineage: Eukaryota; Metazoa; Chordata; Mammalia; Carnivora; Felidae. The record is from Rfam by way of RNAcentral. RNAcentral also lists the same sequence under 3 other names.